Molecule: non-coding RNA, 114 nt
Organism: Acanthosepion pharaonis
Lineage: Eukaryota; Metazoa; Mollusca; Cephalopoda; Sepiida; Sepiidae
Source: the annotation of a GenBank genome assembly
UUACGGUCACAUCACGUUGAAGCACCUGUUCACGUACGAUCACCGAAGUAAAGCAACGUCAAGCACAGUCAAUACCUAGAUGGGUGACCGUUUGUGAAUACUAGGUGCUGUAAG